CAGCAGCUACAUUAAUAAUAACAAAGAUGUAUAACAAAAAACAAACUGUGGGUAUAGGAGUCCAUACUUGACGUGUUUCGCCAUAGCUUUCUCAAAAGUGGAUGGUGUCCUGUUGCCAAAUGGCUUUUGAUAUGUUCCUGGGUAGCAAUAUAGCGAGUUCCGGUCUUCAUACAGCAAUUUACGGUAUUCAGAAGGUUGAUGACAUCAGUUCCAGUUCCUGGAUUAAAGGUUAUGGGACACCACAGGAAGUGAUGUAUAUGGAAGUCUUUUUAGCGCCAUUUUGGUGAAGGGCAAUAGUCC
Molecule: non-coding RNA, 300 nt
Organism: Pelobates cultripes (western spadefoot toad)
Lineage: Eukaryota; Metazoa; Chordata; Amphibia; Anura; Pelobatidae
Source: the annotation of a GenBank genome assembly